GAUGAACGCUGGCGGCGUGCCUAAUACAUGCAAGUCGAGCGAACAGACGAGAAGCUUGCUUCUCUGACGUUAGCGGCGGACGGGUGAGUAACACGUGGAUAACCUACCUAUAAGACUGGGAUAACUUCGGGAAACCGGAGCUAAUACCGGAUAAUAUUUUGAACCGCAUGGUUCAAUAGUGAAAGACGGUUUUGCUGUCACUUAUAGAUGGAUCCGCGCCGCAUUAGCUAGUUGGUAAGGUAACGGCUUACCAAGGCAACGAUGCGUAGCCGACCUGAGAGGGUGAUCGGCCACACUGGAACUGAGACACGGUCCAGACUCCUACGGGAGGCAGCAGUAGGGAAUCUUCCGCAAUGGGCGAAAGCCUGACGGAGCAACGCCGCGUGAGUGAUGAAGGUCUUCGGAUCGUAAAACUCUGUUAUUAGGGAAGAACAAAUGUGUAAGUAACUAUGCACGUCUUGACGGUACCUAAUCAGAAAGCCACGGCUAACUACGUG
This 497-nucleotide ribosomal RNA is filed under the name uncultured bacterium. RNAcentral's name for it is "partial 16S ribosomal RNA". It matches the Rfam family "Bacterial small subunit ribosomal RNA", at positions 28 to 507 of the family's 1533-position model. The record is from RNAcentral.